RNAcentral lists this transfer RNA (72 nucleotides) under Rhodohalobacter barkolensis. It matches the Rfam family "tRNA". Rfam says of the family: Transfer RNA (tRNA) molecules are approximately 80 nucleotides in length. Their secondary structure includes four short double-helical elements and three loops (D, anti-codon, and T loops). The record is from Rfam by way of RNAcentral. Lineage: Bacteria; Pseudomonadati; Balneolota; Balneolia; Balneolales; Balneolaceae.
GCCAGUGUAGCUCAGGGGUAGAGCAGCUGUUUUGUAAACAGCCGGUCAUCGGUUCGAAUCCGGUCACUGGCU